GUGCUGGCUUUGGCAUCACAAAUACUAAAAUUGGAACCAUACAGAGAUUAGCAUGGCCCCUGCGCAAGGAUGACACACAAUUUUGAGAAGCGUUCCAUAUUUAA
Cricetulus griseus (Chinese hamster) is the source of this 104-nucleotide small nuclear RNA. The record is from Ensembl. Lineage: Eukaryota; Metazoa; Chordata; Mammalia; Rodentia; Cricetidae.